ACUCCUACGGGAGGCAGCAGUGGGGAAUCUUGCGCAAUGGGCGAAAGCCUGACGCAGCCAUGCCGCGUGAAUGAUGAAGGUCUUAGGAUUGUAAAAUUCUUUCACCGGGGACGAUAAUGACGGUACCCGGAGAAGAAGCCCCGGCUAACUUCGUGCCAGCAGCCGCGGUAAUGCGAAGGGGGCUAGCGUUGCUCGGAAUUACUGGGCGUAAAGGGAGCGUAGGCGGACUGUUAAGUUAGAGGUGAAAGCCCAGGGCUCAACCUUGGAAUUGCCUUUGAUACUGGCAGUCUUGAGUACGGAAGAGGUAUGUGGAACUCCGAGUGUAGAGGUGAAAUUCGUAGAUAUUCGGAAGAACACCAGUGGCGAAGGCGACAUACUGGUCCGUUACUGACGCUGAGGCUCGAAAGCGUGGGGAGCAAACAGGAUUAGAUACCCUGGUAGUCCACGCCGUAAACGAUGAGUGCUAGUUGUCGGCAUGCAUGCAUGUCGGUGACGCAGCUAACGCAUUAAGCACUCCGCCUGGGGAGUGCGGUCGCAAGAUUAAAACUCAAAGGAAUUGACGG
This 563-nucleotide ribosomal RNA is filed under the name uncultured Caulobacter sp. RNAcentral describes it as "bacterial SSU rRNA". It matches the Rfam family "Bacterial small subunit ribosomal RNA", at positions 335 to 916 of the family's 1533-position model. The record is from RNAcentral. Lineage: Bacteria; Pseudomonadati; Pseudomonadota; Alphaproteobacteria; Caulobacterales; Caulobacteraceae.